This 434-nucleotide ribosomal RNA is filed under the name uncultured bacterium. RNAcentral's name for it is "bacterial SSU rRNA". It matches the Rfam family "Bacterial small subunit ribosomal RNA", at positions 355 to 786 of the family's 1533-position model. The record is from RNAcentral.
UGAGGAAUAUUGGUCAAUGGGCGGAAGCCUGAACCAGCCAAGUCGCGUGAGGGAAGACGGUCCUAUGGAUUGUAAACCUCUUUUGCAGGGAGCAAGACGCGGUACGUGUACCGUGCUGGAGAGUACCCUGGGAAAAAGCAUCGGCUAACUCCGUGCCAGCAGCCGCGGUAAUACGGAGGAUGCGAGCGUUAUCCGGAUUUAUUGGGUUUAAAGGGUGCGUAGGCGGACUGGUAAGUCAGCGGUAAAAAGUGCGGUGCUCAACGCCGUAGUGCCGUUGAAACUGCCGGUCUUGAGUGAGCGAGAAGUAUGCGGAAUGCGUGGUGUAGCGGUGAAAUGCAUAGAUAUCACGCAGAACUCCGAUUGCGAAGGCAGCAUACCGGCGCUCAACUGACGCUGAGGCACGAAAGCGUGGGGAUCGAACAGGAUUAGAUACC